Molecule: long non-coding RNA, 311 nt
Filed under: Elaeis guineensis (African oil palm)
Lineage: Eukaryota; Viridiplantae; Streptophyta; Magnoliopsida; Arecales; Arecaceae
Description: long non-coding RNA (EGUI_LNC023727)
Source: RNAcentral
GCAGUAAUAAGACCAACAUCCAUCUGUAUGCGACCAAUCCAAUAUACUCCAUAGAAUCCAAGAUAUUGCAAAUAAUCCAUCACUCUAAGUGGGAUAUGCUCUAUCCUCCAAAAGUCAGCAUCGGAUUGUCGUAGUCUAAGAAAUCUGAGCUCUCACAAUAGGAUAUAAUAAUUAGAUGAUGUACAUAAUUUUAAAAAAAUAUUAAUAAUAAGAGUAGGAUUGGAAUGCUUACGUCGUCAUCUAAAAUAGUCUGUGACUGAUGAUGCUCCUGUAAUAUAAGAAUACUCGUGUCUCGAGUGCUUGGAUACCGC